GUUAAGAAAAGCUUCUUUGAAGGUUCGAGACCGUGUUCGCACAAAGAUGGAGAGGGAUAUACUGGUAGAAGUAAAUCAUCCUUUUAUCGUCAAACUGCACUAUGCUUUUCAGACUGAAGGGAAGCUGUACUUAAUAUUGGAUUUCCUCAGGGGAGGAGAUGUCUUCACAAGAUUAUCCAAAGAGACUUCCAUUCUCGAUGUGGGACUUUCUAAAUCAUACUAGCACAGAGAUGCAGUCAGUAAGUUUUCAUUCCUAAGUCUGGAAUAUUAG
Molecule: long non-coding RNA, 271 nt
Filed under: Rattus norvegicus (Norway rat)
Lineage: Eukaryota; Metazoa; Chordata; Mammalia; Rodentia; Muridae
Description: long non-coding RNA NONRATT031113
Source: RNAcentral